CAGCCGCCGCGGUAAUACGAAGGGUGCAAGCGUUAAUCGGAAUUACUGGGCGUAAAGCGCACGUAGGCGGCUUGGUAAGUUAGAGGUGAAAGCCUGGAGCUCAACUCCAGAAUUGCCUUUAAGACUGCCGAGCUAGCAGGUGAGAGAGGUAAGUGGAAUUCCGAGUGUAGAGGUGAAAUUCGUAGAUAUUCGGAAGAACACCAGUGGCGAAGGCGGCUUACUGGCUCAUACUGGACGCUGAGGUGCGAAAGCGUGGGGAGCAAACAGGAUUAGAUACCCCUGUAGUCCCUGUCUCUUAUAC
RNAcentral lists this ribosomal RNA (301 nucleotides) under uncultured bacterium. RNAcentral's name for it is "partial 16S ribosomal RNA". It matches the Rfam family "Bacterial small subunit ribosomal RNA", at positions 509 to 807 of the family's 1533-position model. The record is from RNAcentral.